GAUGAACGCUAGCUACAGGCUUAACACAUGCAAGUCGAGGGGAAACGACAUCGAAAGCUUGCUUUUGAUGGGCGUCGACCGGCGCACGGGUGAGUAACGCGUAUCCAACCUGCCCACCACUUGGGGAUAACCUUGCGAAAGUAAGACUAAUACCCAAUGAUAUCUCUAGAAGACAUCUGAAAGAGAUUAAAGAUUUAUCGGUGAUGGAUGGGGAUGCGUCUGAUUAGCUUGUUGGCGGGGUAACGGCCCACCAAGGCGACGAUCAGUAGGGGUUCUGAGAGGAAGGUCCCCCACAUUGGAACUGAGACACGGUCCAAACUCCUACGGGAGGCAGCCAGUGAGGAAUAUUGGUCAAUGGGCGAGAGCCUGAACCAGCCAAGUAGCGUGCAGGAUGACGGCCCUAUGGGUUGUAAACUGCUUUUA
Molecule: ribosomal RNA, 423 nt
Filed under: uncultured bacterium
Lineage: Bacteria
Description: bacterial SSU rRNA
Rfam family: Bacterial small subunit ribosomal RNA
Source: RNAcentral